GAUGAACGCUGGCGGCGUGCCUAAUACAUGCAAGUCGAGCGAACAGAUGAGGAGCUUGCUCCUCUGACGUUAGCGGCGGACGGGUGAGUAACACGUGGAUAACCUACCUAUAAGACUGGGAUAACUUCGGGAAACCGGAGCUAAUACCGGAUAAUAUAUUGAACCGCAUGGUUCAAUAGUGAAAGACGGUUUUGCUGUCACUUAUAGAUGGAUCCGCGCCGCAUUAGCUAGUUGGUAAGGUAACGGCUUACCAAGGCAACGAUGCGUAGCCGGCCUGAUAGGGGGGUUCGGCACACUUGAACUGAGACACGGUCCAGACUCCUACGGGAGGCAGCAGUAGGGAAUCUUCCGCAAUGGGCGAAAGCAUGACGGAGCAACGCCGCGUGAGUGAUGAAGGUCUUCGGAUCGUAAAACUCUGUUAUUAGGGAAGAACAAAUGUGUAAGUAACUAUGCACGUCUUGACGGUACCUAAUCAGAAAGCCACGGCUAACUACGUG
This 497-nucleotide ribosomal RNA is filed under the name uncultured bacterium. RNAcentral's name for it is "partial 16S ribosomal RNA". It matches the Rfam family "Bacterial small subunit ribosomal RNA", at positions 28 to 507 of the family's 1533-position model. The record is from RNAcentral.